UCUCACUUUCUUUAAACAAAACCUAAAACCUAAUCCUAUUUUCAACAACAACAAAGCAGCCGCCUCUCUCCUCCCCAUACUCUUUCUCUCUCACCACAACAGACACAUCACUGUCACCGGUGAACCUCCACGACGACCACCCAACACCAGCGCCGCUCCUCUCUCCCUUCUCUCUUUCUCUUUCUCUUUAAAACCACAAGAAAACCCAUGCUCCGGCAAAUCGUGCGCCACUAGCAGCCCUUGUUGUGAGCCCAAACGAAUCCAUCUCCGACCAAGCCCUGCACCACAAGCAGCCCUCAAACAACACUACCGCCGCCUCUCCACGUAGACGCCACCCUCCAUCAGAAAAGUGGAUAACUCCAUCGCUGCCCCAUCCGCCGACGGAAAAAGAAACAGCAACAGGAUCUGCUAGCCCAAAGGACCACCACUGGUCCGCUUCUCCACCUCCAUAAUUUCCACUCAUCACCAGCAAAACCCGCGAAUCCAUCCAGGUUUUCAUUUGAGAUUAGCUAAGUCGAUAGUCUUCUUUGACUGUUCUAUUCUAUCGAGUGGUUUGAUAUCGAGAUUAGCUAAAUAUUUUGCUAUUUCCUAAAGCAUUUUGUCUUCAAAUCAUACCCUUGUGAUGCUUCAAUAUUUCUUUACUUGUACACUUGCAGCAGCUUGAUCGAAAUGAGUUUUUCAGGGUUUGUCGCUUAUUUUACUUGUGUUAGAUAUAAUCUUAAUGACAAUGCUGACUUUUCAUGUGUUUUGGUAUAGUAGAACUGGAGUAUUUAAUGAGGCUUCCAUCAUCUUUGUUAUGGUUGAAUAUGGUUGUUGCUUUUGCUUAUUUAUUUUUAUAAAAUAUUGUUGAA
This is a long non-coding RNA of Capsicum annuum, 851 nucleotides long. RefSeq lists it as uncharacterized. NCBI's taxonomy places the organism in Eukaryota, Viridiplantae, Streptophyta, Magnoliopsida, Solanales, Solanaceae. The transcript has 2 exons. The record is from RefSeq and is a predicted model, not a curated record.